CUAAAUAAGGAAAGUGCCAAAUAAGGAAAGUGCCAAAUAAGGAAAGUGCAGUCAACAGAGCAGUUUCAAAUUCAAGAUCUUCAAGAAUCAUUUUCCUUAUUUGAGAAGCCAAAUCUUCAAGAUUCACAUUCAGAUUUUGAAAUUCAAAUUCAGCUUGUCAAAGAAGCCAAAGAAGUCACACAUGCCACACAUGCCUUGCACAUUCAAAAUUUGAAAUUCAAAAGAGAGGCUCCACCUCAUUAAUGUGCAAAAUAUGGGCAGCA
Molecule: long non-coding RNA, 263 nt
Filed under: Manihot esculenta (cassava)
Lineage: Eukaryota; Viridiplantae; Streptophyta; Magnoliopsida; Malpighiales; Euphorbiaceae
Description: long non-coding RNA (MESC_LNC010971)
Source: RNAcentral